UGUUUUAGAGAAACAAGUCACCCUGGUUGGCCCUUUAACUAGCUGUGUAAGGUCAAAGGUAUUAGUGAUCCGUUUGAGGGUUUUCCUACAAAACUUGUCUUCAUAAUUAAUGUUAAAAUCUCCCAUUAAGAUUACCUCUUUCCCAAAGUCACAUUCCCUAAGCAUGUUAUUAAACUGAUCAAAAAACACACUUUUGGUGGAAGGUGGCCUAUACAUUCCAAUAAGGGUAAAAUACAUUUGGGGAGACAGUGUAACUUUCAGGCCAAUACAUUCUAGUUUAUUAUCACAUGACCACUCAAUUUGUUUACUUCGGAUAUGUUCUUUAAUGUAAAUCAUCACACCCCUCCUCUUCCUUCAAUCCUGUCUCUCCUGAAGACAUUGUAGCCAAUCACAAUCAAAGCAGCAUAUGGAGAGGUUUUAUGGAGCCAUGUCUCUGAGAGGCAGAGGAAGUCAAGGUUGGAGUCUGUGAGUGGAUGUUGAAUUUGGUCACUUUUUGGAAUGACACUACGAAUGUUCAAGUGCCCCCCUAGUGGUCCCUUGGGCAUAGCUCGUGGGUCCCAGAUGACUCGAGAGUGAUUGACACAUUGAAAAAAGUUACAUUUUCUGUGUUUUCUGAUGGCUGGGUUUAGGCCGUUUUGUUUCGUUUUGAUUAGGGGCAGUUCGGUAGCGCAAUUAACAAUCCCUCCCGCCUGCACUGGAUGCAGGGAACUAAUUAAAACAGCUUGGGUACCAGAAGUAGAGUCAGGAAUCGCAUAUCGCGACUUGGGUAUGUUUGAAGAGUCAAAAUCUAUCCUGGAGCCGGGUGAGUCGAGAGAAACCAUGGGACCAUAGCACUCACCCACUUCCACAGCGGCGACGAUCAGUGGACGAGGCCAUCAACCGCUUUUCACUCCGGAGGUGCCUGGAGUUGUGUGUGGGCGAGACCAGAGUGAGAGUGGACCUGCAACAGCCUCUGAGACCUUGGGCGCCUAAGAGCUGUGAUGGAGGAGAGUCGGAAGGUUCCUCUUAGCCCCGCAACCCUGCGGUUUAUCUCCCAGUUGCUGUCUUUCCAUAUUGACUCCAUCAACGUGAUGGUGUUUAACCUAGCCCUGUCAGAGUCUCUAUGGUACAUGACCACCUCAAGUAUUGACCUACUGCUCAACCAUCAGGGCAAAAGGUAUUAAACCUCCACACACUCUAAAGUCAUCUAAACAGAUCGGUCUUAUCUUAGCCUGUCUGUUUAAAUGUUCAUGAUUUUUCAUAUCAAUUUCUCAAACUUUCAUUACAGGUUGGCCUGGGACUUUUUCUGUGGGGCAGCUAAGCAGUAAAGUGCUUAAAAUCAGAGUGGAGUUUUUUCCCAUGUAAACAUAGCAGUCUUUUGAGUGUCUCUCUUUAAAUAAGUGUUACUUAACAGAAUGUAUUUCACUGCAUUGUCUCAACUCACUGCUCAGCAGGAUACAUGUCUGCCAGAGACGUCCCUGAGCCUGGUGCUGUCUGGGGAUGUCAGCCUACCAGAGCUGGGUCCAGGCCGAACGGCCCUGUGUGUGAGAACACUGCUGGCUGAGCUGCACAAAGGCUUGUUCCUCAGCCAGCUACUGCUUCCACCUCCUCCUCUGGAGAGCACUCUCUCUGCAGAUGAAUGUGGAAAGGACAAGUUUUUCCAGACUGAAGCAGUGGAGCAGUUUCAUCAGCUGGUGCCCCAGAAGGUCAGCGUGGAGUUUGAGAAUACUAGUAUAACCCUGUCCAUGCACAGCCAGAAAAGGUGAGUCAUAGGAC
Non-coding RNA from Oncorhynchus mykiss (rainbow trout), 1755 nucleotides. The record is from RefSeq and is a predicted model, not a curated record. NCBI's taxonomy places the organism in Eukaryota, Metazoa, Chordata, Actinopteri, Salmoniformes, Salmonidae.